GUCGGAGAAUUAGAAAAACAUAUGGAAGAGAAUUUGUGAAAUUAAUACCCAAAAUAUUCUUUGGACGAAAACAAAAGAAAGAAAUUACCCAGACAUUCCAAUUAUUGGCAAGCAUUUCUUAGACGUUUUAUCCGCACAAAAAAAAAAGAAAAAUAAUUGCCAAUAAUACCCUUAAGCAAAUACUUGGCAACGAAGAAAAGGGAAACGAACCCGAAAACAUAAAGCCAACGAACGGAAACUACUGUUGACAGGAAAUACACUUGAAAUUGGCAAUUUUGCAUUUACGUUAAUAAUACUCAAGCGUAUUUACCAGGAACACUAGUAGGAGUAGUAGCAUUGCUACUUUACAACUAACUAUGUUGCCGCCAAUCUUUAUCCUGUGACAAGAACAACCUUCACAACCCAACAACAACAUCUUGCUAGCCCCGUAUAAAUAAGUAAGUGUUAAAGGAAAGGAACAGUCAAAUUGCUGGGCUAGAGAAGUAAAAUCGUCAUUUGAUGUGGAAGGUAAAGAAAGACAUGAAAUUGACGACGAUGACAACAAGAAAAUUGGUAUUUUAAUGCUCCAAGGCAUUAAGUUAAGGUUCCUCGAAAAUAUAUUUUUGGUGGAUUUUUAAGGGCAGGCUUGGAAGCCGCCAAUAUAUAUUUAACUACGGAGUAUGUGCAUUUAUUGGUAAUAUAGAGUCAUUUAUUGGAAAAAACAUCAAAUUUUGUCUCCAGGUAAGGUGGAAUGAAAAAGAAGAAAAUAAUAUUAAAGUAAAAUGAAAUAAAAAGAAAAAAUACAAAACGGAACGGAACGGAAAAUGAACAGCAAUGUGGAGAAGUAAAAUAUGUUAAAAUGAAAUAAAAAGAAAAAAUAUUUAUGAAAACGAGUUGGUUUCAGAGGAGAUAAUUUUCUCAACGGAAAAAUGUGGAGAA
Musca domestica (house fly) is the source of this 918-nucleotide long non-coding RNA. RefSeq lists it as uncharacterized. Lineage: Eukaryota; Metazoa; Arthropoda; Insecta; Diptera; Muscidae. The transcript has 3 exons. The record is from RefSeq and is a predicted model, not a curated record.